This 79-nucleotide transfer RNA is filed under the name Oscillospiraceae bacterium. Its description in RNAcentral is "tRNA-Leu". It matches the Rfam family "tRNA". From Rfam's summary of the family: Transfer RNA (tRNA) molecules are approximately 80 nucleotides in length. The record is from RNAcentral. Lineage: Bacteria; Bacillati; Bacillota; Clostridia; Eubacteriales; Oscillospiraceae.
GCGGGUAUGGCGGAAUGGCAGACGCACCAGAUUUAGGAUCUGGCGGGCAACCGUGCAGGUUCAAGUCCUGUUACCCGCA